This 253-nucleotide ribosomal RNA is filed under the name uncultured bacterium. Its description in RNAcentral is "partial 16S ribosomal RNA". It matches the Rfam family "Bacterial small subunit ribosomal RNA", at positions 524 to 776 of the family's 1533-position model. The record is from RNAcentral.
UACGUAGGGUGCGAGCGCUAAUCGGAAUUACUGGGCGUAAAGCGUGCGCAGGCGGCUUUGCAAGACAGAUGUGAAAUCCCCGGGCUAAACCUGGGAACUGCAUUUGUGACUGCAAGGCUAGAGUACGGCAGAGGGGGAUGGAAUUCCGCGUGUAGCAGUGAAAUGCGUAGAUAUGCGGAGGAACACCAAUGGCGAAGGCAAUCCCCUGGGCCUGUACUGACGCUCAUGCACGAAAGCGUGGGGAGCAAACAGG